UCAAUUCAUCCACAUCCACCUUCAGGAAGAUAACAUUUGGCAGUUUCUUGGCCAGCUCUACCAAGAAAGGACUAAUGAAACGGCAGGGUCCGCACCACGAAGCAGUAAAAUCAACAACCACCUUCAUCAAACCCAUAGCAAAAUAAAUGACAGAUAAACACAACAAAAGUUUUCAGUUGAGAAUAAUACUAGUAGCAAACUUAAACUUCCACAUGCGAGCAUUGAAGGUCUGGGACAGGGAAGGUUAUUGGAUGCUACAAAAAUCCAACAAUAGCAUCUGGCCCAAUGCAAUCAACAUGCCCACCCAGUUGGAAGCAACAUGGUCAUAAAGCAGUAAUCAACAUGGCGCAACAUGCAUAAAACUCAUUAAUUUAAAAAUCUAUGAAUCUAUGGACAUGGAUAAACUCAUUAAUUUAAAAAUCAACAUAGCCCAAUUCCAGAUCCCAUCGCAAAAAUCCAAUCCCCUGUGACCAUCAAUCAUCAAAUCAUCAAUUGAACCUUUCAUUCUCACGGCAGAAUCCAGGUACAAAUCACUAUCACAGCGAAAUCAAAGCUUCCUUUGAUCGAGCUAAAUAUGUUCCAAUCACGUCUGAAUGAAAAUUCACACACACAAUGCAUCCAAGCAAAUUAAUGGGCCAACAGUUGAGCACAUCCCGACUGAAAUAUAAUCAACACGAUUAGCACAUAACAAACAUCCACCGCCAAAGAUUCACACAAUUAUAAAGUCAGAAUCUGAGCAAAAUCAUGAAAUUUCGCAUUAUAAAUCAGAACUCAAUCAAAAAGGAAUUGACAUAAAAUAAUACCAGCUUCUUGGAUUGAUUUGCCUUCUGCAAAUUCUCGUUCCAUAACUCAACAGUAUGGCAACCAAUCACUUGCCCCUCUUCUGCUGCCAUAUCCGAUCUGUCAAAUCUUUUUAAAAUUCUGCAAAUGCUUUUGCUUCUUGGACGUGGUUGCGAACUUGCGUUUGUUUAAAUACACAUCACGGUUAAUGGACCUAUAGUUUGGAUAAAUUACGGGUUUGCCAUGAUGAUAAGGACAGCUACCGAUUACCUAAUGGCUAAGGAAUGCAUCUCCACGGAGAUUUCUCACGCGAAUGAGCAGCGAGGCGGUCG
Molecule: unclassified non-coding RNA, 1112 nt
Filed under: Hevea brasiliensis (rubber tree)
Lineage: Eukaryota; Viridiplantae; Streptophyta; Magnoliopsida; Malpighiales; Euphorbiaceae
Source: RNAcentral